AGUGCAUGUGGCGGAUGCCUUGGCGAUCACAGGCGAAGAAAGACGCGGCAGCCUGCGAAAAGCUGCGGGGAGCUGGCAAACGAGCUUUGAUCCGCAGAUAUCUGAAUGGGGGAACCCACACCGCAAGGUGUAUCCGUAGCUGAAUACAUAGGUUACGGAGGCGAACGAGGAGAACUGAAACAUCUAAGUAUCCUCAGGAAAAGAAAUCAACCGAGAUUCCGGCAGUAGCGGCGAGCGAACCCGGAGGAGCCCAGCUUUUGAUAGUACGAACUUUAGCCGAAAGGUCCUGGAAAGGCCUGCUAUAGUGGGUGAUAGCCCCGUAGGCGAAAGAGUUGGUACGGUACUAAGGAAGCGAGAAGUAGAGCGGGACACGUGGAAUCCUGUUCGAAGACGGGGGGACCAUCCUCCAAGGCUAAAUACUCGUGAUCGACCGAUAGUGAACCAGUACCGUGAGGGAAAGGCGAAAAGAACCCCGGGAGGGGAGUGAAAUAGAACCUGAAACCGCAUGCAUACAAACAGUAGGAGCCUCGUCAGAGGUGACUGCGUACCUUUUGCAUAAUGGGUCAGCGACUUACAUUCUGUGGCGAGCUUAACCGAAUAGGGGAGGCGCAGCGAAAGCGAGUUCGAAAUGAGCGUUCAGUCGCAGGGUGUAGACCCGAAACCAGAUGAGCUAUCCAUGGCCAGGUUGAAGGUGUGGUAACACACACUGGAGGACCGAACCGACUAGUGUUGCAAAAUUAGCGGAUGAGCUGUGGAUAGGGGUGAAAGGCCAAACAAAUCUGGAGAUAGCUGGUUCUCCCCGAAAACUAUUGAGGUAGUGCCUCGUGUGUCGCUCCAGGGGGUAGAGCACUGUUUUGGCUAGGGGGACAUGGAGUCUUACCAAACCAAGGCAAACUCCGAAUACCUGGAAGCGUAAGCACGGGAGACAGAGCACCGGGUGCUAACGUCCGGACUCAAAAGGGAAACAACCCAGACCGCCGGCUAAGGUCCCAAAUAACAGCUAAGUGGAAAACGAAGUGGAAAGGCCGUGACAACCAGGAAGUUGGCUUAGAAGCAGCCAUCCUUCAAAGAAAGCGUAAUAGCUCACUGGUCGAGUCCUUCUGCGCGGAAGAUGUAACGGGGCUAAGCUGUUAACCGAAGCCGCGGAUGCGCUGGUUAUCCAGUGCGUGGUAGGGGAGCGUUCUGUAAGUCUGCGAAGGCGGUUCGAGAGGACUGCUGGAGAUAUCAGAAGUGCGAAUGCUGACAUGAGUAACGUUAAAGCAGGUGAAAAGCCUGCUCGCCGUAAGCCCAAGGAUUCCUGCUCUACGUUCAUCGGAGCAGGGUGAGUCGGCUCCUAAGGUCAGGCCGAAAGGCGUAGCCGAUGGGAAUCAGGUUAAUAUUCCUGAACCUGCGUCAGAUGCGAUGGGGGGACGGAGCAUGGAAGAUCAUCCGGGUGUUGGAAGUCCCGGUUGUUUAGCGUAGGAGGUCUGCAGGCAAAUCCGCAGACGCAUCUCCAAGGCAAAGACACGUGCCGCUACGGCGGCGAAGUGAUCGGAAGUGCUUCCAAGAAAAGCCUCUAAGCCCCAGUCUGACGCGGACCGUACCGCAAACCGACACUGGUGGGCGAGCUGAAUAUGCUCAGGCGCUUGAGAGAACUCGGGAGAAGGAACUCGGCAAAUUGACACCGUAACUUCGGAAGAAGGUGUGCCGUAGUACCGUGAGAGGAGAGACACCUUGAGCGGGAAACGGUCUCAGAGAAUAGGUGGCUGCGACUGUUUAUUAAAAACACAGCACUCUGCAAAGUCGAAAGACGACGUAUAGGGUGUGAUGCCUGCCCGGUGCUGGAAGAUUAAUUGAUGGGGUGAGAGCCCUUGAUCGAAGUCCCAGUAAACGGCGGCCGUAACUAUAACGGUCCUAAGGUAGCGAAAUUCCUUGUCGGGUAAGUUCCGACCUGCACGAAUGGCAUAACGAUGGCCACACUGUCUCCUCCCGAGACUCAGUGAAGUUGAAAUGUUUGUGAUGAUGCAAUCUACCCGCGGCUAGACGGAAAGACCCCAUGAACCUUUACUGCAGCUUUGCAUUGAACUGUGAACCGAUUUGUGUAGGAUAGGUGGGAGGCAGAGAAGAGGCCACGCCAGUGGCCUUGGAGCCGACCUUGAAAUACCACCCUGAUUUGUUUGCGGUUCUAACCACGGACAGUGAUCCUGUCUUGGGACCGUGCAUGGUAGGCAGUUUGACUGGGGCGGUCUCCUCCUAAAGGGUAACGGAGGAGUACGAAGGUACGCUAGGUACGGUCGGAAAUCGUGCUGAUAGUGCAAUGGCAAAAGCGUGCUUGACUGCGAGAGCAACAACUCGAGCAGAUGCGAAAGCAGGUCAUAGUGAUCCGGUGGCUCUGAAUGGAAGGGCCAUCGCUCAACGGAUAAAAGGUACUCUGGGGAUAACAGGCUGAUACCGCCCAAGAGUUCAUAUCGA
RNAcentral lists this ribosomal RNA (2451 nucleotides) under human gut metagenome. RNAcentral describes it as "bacterial LSU rRNA". It matches the Rfam family "Bacterial large subunit ribosomal RNA", at positions 14 to 2508 of the family's 2925-position model. The record is from RNAcentral.